This 494-nucleotide ribosomal RNA is filed under the name uncultured bacterium. RNAcentral describes it as "partial 16S ribosomal RNA". It matches the Rfam family "Bacterial small subunit ribosomal RNA", at positions 28 to 507 of the family's 1533-position model. The record is from RNAcentral.
GACGAACGCUGGCGGCGCGCUUAACACAUGCAAGUCGAACGGAAAGGCCUGCUUUCCCUUGUGGAUUGCGGGUACUCGAGUGGCGAACGGGUGAGUAACACGUGAGUGAUCUGCCCCCAACUUGGGUAUAAGCCUGGGAAACUGGGUCUAAUUCCCGAUAGGACUGCAGGGUGGUGUCUGUGGUGGAAAACGAUUUUCUAGUGGUUGGGGAUGAGCCCGCGGCCUAUCAGCUUGUUGGUGGGGUAAUUGCCUACCAAGGCGGGGACGGGUAGCCGGCCUGUGAGGGUGGACGGCCGCAUUGAGACACGGUUCCGACUCCGACGCGAAGGAGAGGCAGGGGAGGGGCAGAAAGGGGAGUAGGCGGAAGGGUGAUGCGGCGAGGGAGUGAGGAAGAUGAUGGCAUUGGAGUUGUAAGUUCCUUUGGAACGAGAGAAGGGUAAGUGGUUGGGAAGGUGGUGACGGUAGUGAAAGAAAAAGCACCGGCUAACUACGUG